CAGGCUUCGCCCUCGCCCCGGAGGCCGCUGGGGGUGGGGUGGGUGUCAGAGGUUCAGACUCGUGACUAUUUUAAGGAGGGCGUCCCUGGGCUGGCCUGGGGAAGGUGGCCCAGGCCCUCUGGCGUCCUCUUUCCGCUUUCCUUUCCCAUAGCCUUCGGGGAGAACUUAGCACCGUGGGCAUCAUCAAAGUAUUUUUUUCUUUGACUUCUUUUUAUUGAGUGCUGCGGUCUACCCAGGACCAGCAGUGACACUUGACCAUGAAUUAUUCAGAUGUUCUUUAAAACUCUAGAAAGAUCCUCCCAAGGACUCAAGAAUACAUCAAGCUUCCCUGUUCAUGAAGGCUCCGGAUGCAUGAGCCGGUCUGUACCCAAGCAGAGACAAACUUGUAGGCUAAAACUUUAAAUUCCUCAGAAAAAAUAAAUUAAAAAACAACGAAUGCCGAGCGACCUGGUGAGACCAUCAAGGGUCUCUCGGUGUCGGGGUUCCAGCGCGUUCAGGGUAGGAUGAAGACGCGGCUGCUGCACACCUGCUGCAAUGUUGGGAGCCACAGUCUCAGGUUGGGGUGGGGCGGAGGCCCUGGCACCCAGCAGGAACAAACCUCCGUCCGCUAAUCCAGAAAAAAAUAAAAACCCCUGCCUCCCCCAACCAAGAUCUCCAGGCUUUUGAUGGGAAACAAGAAAAUCUGAGAGAAAGACUCAGAGGGAGCUACGGAAGUUAAGCCUAGCCCCGGGAAACGAGUUCCUCCUGGGUGUAGACACGCCUUUGCCGAGCUGUGCAGAGUGACCCGCACCAAACGAACACGGCUGCAUCCCAGCCCCUCGGUCCUCAGUCCCCGGCUGGGCCCACGCGCGAGGGGUGUGGGUCCCCUCUACUACAGCCAGUGGCACCGUCAAGACCCCUGCACACGCCCUGGAGUUGGGGACAGCCAAGCACCAGGGACCAAGGUGCCAGCCACGCCAGACCCUGCUAAUGCAGAAAUGGAGAACGAAUCAAGCUGCAAAGCCAGCAUUGCCAGGCCAGAAGGAGGGCUAGAAAGUGUUGCCAUCCUCAUCUUUCGACCCAGAAAGCCCGGAGAGAGGUUAAGGCAGGAGCCCCUUGUGGCAGAGCUGGUGAGAGAAGGUCUCGAAUCCAGAUUCAUGAGUUGUAGUUCUUUUUCCAUUUUACUUUGUUCUGCCUUCAACUAGGAAAUACUUUCUGUAACCAUCAUUUUACUUUUUUAAAAAUCUCUGGAUUUCCUUUAGUGACCAC
RNAcentral lists this long non-coding RNA (1248 nucleotides) under Heterocephalus glaber (naked mole-rat). RNAcentral describes it as "lncRNA (ENSHGLG00000050125.1)". The record is from RNAcentral. Lineage: Eukaryota; Metazoa; Chordata; Mammalia; Rodentia; Bathyergidae.